ACGAUGAACCAGGCGAUCGCCCUGUUCCCGUGGACGCCGCGGCCGUGCCGCCCGGCGCGCUUUGGGGGCCGGGAGGAAAGUCCGGACUCCGCAGGGCAGGAUGCCGGGUAACGCCCGGGGCCGCAGUUUCGGACGCCGCAAGACGUGCGGAACUGCGGUACAGAAAGCGCAACAGAAAACAAACUACCCCGGGCGGGGAAUCCUGUCCGGGGAAAAGGUGAAAAGGCGGGGUAAGAGCCCGCCGCGGCGGCGGUAACGGCGCCGGCACUGCAAGCCUCAUCCGGAGCAAAGUCAAACAGCCGCGGCGAAGGCAGACGCCUUCACGAACGGCCCGUUCGGGCGCGGCGGGUAGACCGCAAAGAGCCUUUCGGCAACGAAAGGCCAAGACAGAUGAUCGCGGGUUUUGCCGCAAGGCGGAACCAACAGAAUCCGGCUUAUGGUUCAUCGUUUUU
Molecule: RNase P RNA, 452 nt
Filed under: Treponema sp.
Lineage: Bacteria; Pseudomonadati; Spirochaetota; Spirochaetia; Treponematales; Treponemataceae
Description: RNase P RNA component class A
Rfam family: Bacterial RNase P class A
About the family: Ribonuclease P (RNase P) is a ubiquitous endoribonuclease, found in archaea, bacteria and eukarya as well as chloroplasts and mitochondria. Its best characterised activity is the generation of mature 5'-ends of tRNAs by cleaving the 5'-leader elements of precursor-tRNAs. Cellular RNase Ps are ribonucleoproteins.
Source: RNAcentral